RNAcentral lists this ribosomal RNA (482 nucleotides) under uncultured bacterium. RNAcentral describes it as "bacterial SSU rRNA". It matches the Rfam family "Bacterial small subunit ribosomal RNA", at positions 30 to 506 of the family's 1533-position model. The record is from RNAcentral.
UUGAACGCUGGCGGAAUGCUUUACACAUGCAAGUCGAACGGCAGCACGGGGGCAACCUUGGUGGCGAGUGGCGAACGGGUGAGUAAUGUAUCGGAACGUACCCAGUCGUGGGGGAUAACUAUCCGAAAGGAUAGCUAAUACCGCAUAUUCUGUGCGCAGGAAAGCAGGGGAUCGCAAGACCUUGCGCUGAUUGAGCGGCCGAUAUCAGAUUAGCUAGUUGGUGAGGUAAAAGCUCACCAAGGCGACGAUCUGUAGCGGGUCUGAGAGGAUGAUCCGCCACACUGGAACUGAGACACGGUCCAGACUCCUACGGGAGGCAGCAGUGGGGAAUUUUGGACAAUGGGGGCAACCCUGAUCCAGCCAUGCCGCGUGAGUGAAGAAGGCCUUCGGGUUGUAAAGCUCUUUCAGCCGGGAAGAAAACGCAUGGGUUAAUACCCUGUGUGGAUGACGGUACCGGAAUAAGAAGCACCGGCUAACUACGU